GACAGAGGGUGCUAGCGUUGUUCGGAAUUACUGGGCGUAAAGCGAACGUAGGUGGUUUUGUGUGUCUGGUGUGAAAGCCCUCGGCUCAACCGAGGAAGUGCGCUAGAAACUGCAAAACUGGAGUGUAGGAGAGGAUGGUAGAAUUCUCAGUGUAGAGGUGAAAUUCGUAGAUACUGGGAGGAACACCGGUGGCGAAGGCGACCAUCUGGACUAUAACUGACACUGAUGUUCGAAAGCGUGGGUAGCAAACAGG
RNAcentral lists this ribosomal RNA (253 nucleotides) under uncultured bacterium. RNAcentral describes it as "partial 16S ribosomal RNA". It matches the Rfam family "Bacterial small subunit ribosomal RNA", at positions 524 to 776 of the family's 1533-position model. The record is from RNAcentral.